UACGUAGGGUGCAAGCGUUGUUCGGAAUUACUGGGCGUAAAGGGCGCGUAGGCGGGUCUAUAAGUCGAUUGUGAAAGCCCCGGGCUUAACCUGGGAACAGCAGUCGAAACUGUAGAUCUUGGAUACCUGAGAGGAUGGCGGAAUUCCCGGUGUAGAAGUGAAAUUCGUAGAUAUCGGGAGGAACACCAGUGGCGAAGGCGACUUCCUGGCCUGUUCUUGACGCUGAGGCGCGAAAGCUAGGGUAGCAAACGGG
Molecule: ribosomal RNA, 253 nt
Filed under: uncultured bacterium
Lineage: Bacteria
Description: partial 16S ribosomal RNA
Rfam family: Bacterial small subunit ribosomal RNA
Source: RNAcentral